RNAcentral lists this ribosomal RNA (467 nucleotides) under uncultured Comamonas sp. RNAcentral describes it as "bacterial SSU rRNA". It matches the Rfam family "Bacterial small subunit ribosomal RNA", at positions 908 to 1382 of the family's 1533-position model. Lineage: Bacteria; Pseudomonadati; Pseudomonadota; Betaproteobacteria; Burkholderiales; Comamonadaceae. The record is from RNAcentral.
AAUUGACGGGACCGCACAAGCGGUGGAUGAUGUGGUUUAAUUCGAUGCAACGCGAAAACCUUACCCACCUUUGACAUGUACGGAAUCCUUUAGAGAUAGAGGAGUGCUCGAAAGAGAGCCGUAACACAGGUGCUGCAUGGCUGUCGUCAGCUCGUGUCGUGAGAUGUUGGGUUAAGUCCCGCAACGAGCGCAACCCUUGUCAUUAGUUGCUACGAAAGGGCACUCUAAUGAGACUGCCGGUGACAAACCGGAGGAAGGUGGGGAUGACGUCAAGUCCUCAUGGCCCUUAUAGGUGGGGCUACACACGUCAUACAAUGGCUGGUACAAAGGGCUGCCAACCCGCGAGGGGGAGCCAAUCCCAUAAAGCCAGUCGUAGUCCGGAUCGCAGUCUGCAACUCGACUGCGUGAAGUCGGAAUCGCUAGUAAUCGUGGAUCAGCAUGUCACGGUGAAUACGUUCCCGGGUCUU